AACGCUAGCUACAGGCUUAACACAUGCAAGUCGAGGGGCAUCAGGAAGAAAGCUUGCUUUCUUUGCUGGCGACCGGCGCACGGGUGAGUAACACGUAUCCAACCUGCCGAUGACUCGGGGAUAGCCUUUCGAAAGAAAGAUUAAUACCCGAUGGUAUAUCUGAAAGGCAUCUUUCAGCUAUUAAAGAAUUUCGGUCAUUGAUGGGGAUGCGUUCCAUUAGGUUGUUGGCGGGGUAACGGCCCACCAAGCCAUCGAUGGAUAGGGGUUCUGAGAGGAAGGUCCCCCACAUUGGAACUGAGACACGGUCCAAACUCCUACGGGAGGCAGCAGUGAGGAAUAUUGGUCAAUGGACGAGAGUCUGAACCAGCCAAGUAGCGUGAAGGAUGACUGCCCUAUGGGUUGUAAACUUCUUUUAUACGGGAAUAAAGUUAGGCACGUGUGCCUUUUUGUAUGUACCGUAUGAAUAAGGAUCGGCUAACUCCGUGCCAGCAGCCGCGGUAAUACGGAGGAUCCGAGCGUUAUCCGGAUUUAUUGGGUUUAAAGGAAGCGUAGGCGGAUGCUUAAGUCAGUUGUGAAAGUUUGCGGCUCAACCGUAAAAUUGCAGUUGAUACUGGGUGUCUUGAGUACAGUAGAGGCAGGCGGAAUUCGUGGUGUAGCGGUGAAAUGCUUAGAUAUCACGAAGAACUCCGAUUG
Molecule: ribosomal RNA, 693 nt
Filed under: uncultured bacterium
Lineage: Bacteria
Description: bacterial SSU rRNA
Rfam family: Bacterial small subunit ribosomal RNA
Source: RNAcentral